This 157-nucleotide small nuclear RNA is filed under the name Salmo trutta (river trout). RNAcentral's name for it is "U2 spliceosomal RNA (ENSSTUG00000015149.1)". It matches the Rfam family "U2 spliceosomal RNA", at positions 54 to 192 of the family's 192-position model. Rfam says of the family: U2 is a small nuclear RNA (snRNA) component of the spliceosome (involved in pre-mRNA splicing). Complementary binding between U2 snRNA (in an area lying towards the 5' end but 3' to hairpin I) and the branchpoint sequence (BPS) of the intron results the bulging out of an unpaired adenosine, on the BPS, which initiates a nucleophilic attack at the intronic 5' splice site, thus starting the first of two transesterification reactions that mediate splicing. Lineage: Eukaryota; Metazoa; Chordata; Actinopteri; Salmoniformes; Salmonidae. The record is from Rfam by way of RNAcentral.
CUAGAGUGCACCAAAAAAAAUUCUGUUCUUAUGUUCCCCUAUCGGGGGACUACAUAUUAAAUGGAUUUUUCGAACAGGGAGUCGGAAAUGGGGCUUGCUCCGUUCGUUCCACGCAUCGACCCGGUAUAGCAGUACCUCCGGAAACGGUGCAACACUU